Molecule: ribosomal RNA, 253 nt
Filed under: uncultured bacterium
Lineage: Bacteria
Description: partial 16S ribosomal RNA
Rfam family: Bacterial small subunit ribosomal RNA
Source: RNAcentral
GACAGAGGGUGCAAGCGUUAAUCGGAAUUAUUGGGCGUAAAGCGCGUGUAGGGGGUUUAGUAAGUUGGAUGUGAAAUCCCUGGGCUUAACCUGGGAAUUGCAUUCAAUACUGCUAGUCUAGAGUACAGUAGAGGGAAGUGGAAUUUCCGGUGUAGCGGUGAAAUGCGUAGAUAUCGGAAAGAACAUCAGUGGCGAAGGCGACUUCCUGGACUGAUACUGACACUGAGACGCGAAAGCAUGGGGAGCAAACAGG